AAAGAUUAAGCCAAGCAUGAUGUAAGUGUAAAUAUUCUAGUUUGGAACUGCGAAUGGCUCAUUAUAUCAGUUAUAGUUUAUUUGGUGAAGUGUACUACUUGAAUAACCGUAGUAAUACUAGGGCUAAUACAUGAGAAAGUCCUCUGGUGAGGUUUGUUUAUUAGAAUGAAAACCAUAUGCUUCGACCUGAUAGUGAGUAAUAGUAACCUAUCUUAUCGCACGCUUAAUGUAGCGAUAUUCUUCCAAGUUUCUGCCCUUCAGCUUCUUUCU
RNAcentral lists this ribosomal RNA (270 nucleotides) under Blastocystis sp. RNAcentral's name for it is "partial small subunit ribosomal RNA". It matches the Rfam family "Eukaryotic small subunit ribosomal RNA", at positions 39 to 327 of the family's 1831-position model. Lineage: Eukaryota; Bigyra; Opalinata; Blastocystidae. The record is from RNAcentral.